This is a transfer RNA of Smittium culicis, 73 nucleotides long. It matches the Rfam family "tRNA". Rfam says of the family: Transfer RNA (tRNA) molecules are approximately 80 nucleotides in length. Their secondary structure includes four short double-helical elements and three loops (D, anti-codon, and T loops). Lineage: Eukaryota; Fungi; Kickxellomycota; Harpellomycetes; Harpellales; Legeriomycetaceae. The record is from Rfam.
AGGGUUAUAAUUUAAUUGGUUAAAAUCUUCAUCUCCAAAAUGAAUAAUAAAGGUUCAAAUCCUUUUAACCCUG